CACUGACAUAGCAGGGCCAAGAUGGGGGUGAGGGAGCAAGGGGGCCAGGGGACAGGUGUGUUACACCCCUGCAAAUGCAGCGCUGGAUCCUGCCUUCAUUGAACAAUUUGAUCUUUUGCUCAUCUCAGAUUUUCUUUGCAUUAAUUUUGCCCUCUUAAAAAUAUUGCAUUGGGGAUAUUAUUUAUCUUGAUGAUGGGGCUUUGCAGUACUCAGGGCAGGCAUAAUCAUCUCUACUUUGCAGGUGAGGACCAUGAGGACUAGGGGGUCAGGAGUCUGGAGAAGUCCCAUGGCCGAAAGGGCGGGAGCUGGGAGGUUUACCAGGGCUUCUGGGAGUGGGUUGGAGGUGGCUACAUGACUUACCCUGGGGGAUCAUAGUUCUCAGGAAUGUGUUUCUCUUCUUCCAGGUCGGGAAAGAGGUUGAAGAAGACCCGUAAGUAUGACAUCAUCACUACUCCAGCUGAGCGAGUGGAAAUGGCCCCAUUGAAUGAGGAGGAUGAUGAGGAUGAGGAUUCCACAGUAUUUGACAUCAAAUACAGGUCCAGAGUCUGGGAAAAACGUCAUUGGAGAGUAGCUAGCAUGGAGAUCCCACAGUUUCCCUCCCUCUACUGUUCAGAGAGGCCCACCUGUUCUCCUAUCAACAGUGAAGGAUAUAGUAGCAUCGUAUAGAGCCUGAGGUCUGUGCUGAGAGCCUGAUGGUUGGAGCCACUUCCCUGCCUGUCUCUUCCAAUUGAUGGGAUAGUGUCUAUAAAAAUGUCUUGAUAUGAAAAGUGGCAAAUUGGCCUUCACAAUAAACAGAACUUAAAGUAACA
This 809-nucleotide long non-coding RNA is filed under the name Vulpes vulpes (red fox). RNAcentral's name for it is "lncRNA (ENSVVUG00000013143.1)". The record is from RNAcentral. Lineage: Eukaryota; Metazoa; Chordata; Mammalia; Carnivora; Canidae.